Molecule: RNA transcript, 4274 nt
Organism: Vitis vinifera (wine grape)
Lineage: Eukaryota; Viridiplantae; Streptophyta; Magnoliopsida; Vitales; Vitaceae
Gene name: kinesin-like protein KIN-6
Exons: 23
Source: RefSeq, a predicted model, not a curated record
GCCGCUGAGAUUUUACUCCCCGUCGGAUUACUCUGGUUCUGUUGAACCGUUGGAAAAUUCAAAUAACACCUUUCCGCCCAAGAAGUCGAGACUUGAGAGCUGAGAGGGAACCGAGAAUGGAGACUCAGAGCUCUCCUCCAUGUCCCUACACGGUAACGGUUCGAAGAAACCCUCAUCGCAAAGCCAGGGCAACGCCUUCAACAAGCGUUCCUCCUCGUCCUCUUCUUUCAAACCCCAUUACUUCAGAAAUUCCAGCAUUUCCGAUCCAAGAAAUUUUGGCCAUGCAAGUCCCUCAAACCCUCCCAACUCCCUCCCCCGAAAAUCUCAGAGUUUUUCUCAGAAUUCGACCCCUCAUCACUCUUCAAGGGUCGGGAAAGUGUGGGAGUCGCGGAAAUCAAAGUUCCAAGUCCGUGGCGAAAAACGUGUGGCCUCAGAACCCUAGCACGAAGAUUAAGAGAAAGAAGAACAAGAACUCUGAAAUUUGUAUCGCGGUUAAUAACACGCAGUCGGUGACACUCUCGCCGCCUUCCCACUUGAAGGAUCUGAAGCGGAUCAAGUCUGAGGUCUAUGAAGGCUUUUCUCAUGUGUUCUCUGCCGAUUCUUCUCAGGAAGAAGUCUAUGAAAGGAUGGUGAAGCCUUUGGUGGAGGAUUUCAUCAAUGGCAAAAGCGGGAUGCUGGCUGCAUUGGGCCCUAGUGGAUCUGGCAAGACCCAUACUGUUUUUGGGUGUCCAAGGGAGCCUGGAAUGGUACCUCUUGCACUUCAACAAAUUUUCAAGCGGACUGAGGGGAGUGGUUCUGAGGCAACAAGGUCAUUUUACAUAUCAAUAUUUGAAAUAUAUUCUGAAAGAGGAAAAGGAGAAAGGAUGUUAGAUUUGUCCCCAGGUGGAGCAGAUUUAUUCAUGCAACAGUCAUCUAUAAAAGGUCUUCAAGAGGUAGUCAUUUCUGAUGUUGCACAGGCAGAAUCCUUAAUAGCACAAGGCAUGUUAAAACGCUGUACUGCAAUGACAAAUUCAAACAGCCAGUCAAGCCGGUCACAGUGCAUUAUAAACAUCCGCAGUGCUCCUAACAACUUAGAGAGUGACGUUGGUGUUCAACUGAACAGUGCAGUAUUAACUAUUGUUGACCUUGCUGGUGCUGAAAGAGAAAAGAGAACUGGGAAUCAGGGGGCCAGAUUACUUGAGAGCAAUUUCAUCAACAACACAUCAAUGGUUUUUGGAUUGUGUCUGAGGUCAUUGUUGGAGCAUCAAAGGAACCCCAAGAAGCCACUACAGAAACAUUUUCAGAACUCUUUGUUAACUAGGUACUUACGAGAUUAUUUGGAAGGCAAGAAGCGGAUGGCAUUGAUUUUGACGAUAAAGCCAGGAGAAGAAGACUAUCUUGAUACAUCCUUUCUACUAAAACAAGCUUCCCCUUAUAUGAAAAUCAAGUUCAAUAAUGUUGAAGAAUUGUCCGAUUUGGUUGCUAAUAAGAGGCAUGUUCGAACAUUACCUAGAUUUGAACAGCGCAAAAGAAUGAAGUUCAGUAACCCUGAUGCUUGUGUGAUUGAAGAAGCAAAUAGUGUCGGAGAUGAACAACGACUUUGUGUUUGUGAUGAAGAGGUCAAUCCAGAGGAGCUCAAGGAGACUGGAACCGUAAAAGCUCUGGUUCAGUCCCCAAGAAAUUCUAAAUUGGAUGUUUAUGAUAGCACAUUUCUCAAGUUGAAUGGUGUUGAAUUGGCAAAGAGAGAGAGAAACAAUCAGAUUAUGCAAGGUUUUGCAAAAGCUUUAUGGGAUGUUUUGAAGCAAUAUAAGGAAAAACUUGAGGAAGCAGAAAACCAAGUGCAGAGUCUCAGAGAAAGCCUUAAAAGUGAAAAGGCAAAAUAUUUUGAGCUAGACAAAGAAAUGAAGGAUUUGAAGUCCCAUUGUUCUUGUUGUAAAGAGAAAGUAGUGGAGAGUACUUUACCCAAGGAGAAUUCAAAUUCUGAAUUGACAGUAGAUGAUUCAUCACAAUUGGAGGGACAUGGAUCUAGCAAUAUCGAUGAGAUAAACAUGGGUGUUUCUCUCAACCUUGACCUUGAGGCUUUUGAGCAUGGCAGCACUCCAGCAAAAUGUGACUCUAGUGUGCAACAGGAGUUGGAUGCAUUUUUGCAGGUGGAAAGUUCUGAUAUGGUUGAUUCUAGUUGUUUGUGUAUCAAAGAUUUCCAACAUCAGAAUUCUCAGGUAAUUCAGGGAGUACCUUCUUCUGACAUGGUGGGUUUUGAGUGCAUUGACAAUGAGCUGAAACAUAAUGCCACUUAUAAUCAGGAGCAUUGGAGCUUUUCUAGAAAUGGGAAGAGUGCUGAAGAUUUAAAUGAGUUGAAAUAUUUGGAAAUUGAUGAUAACAAUCUGAAGGCUGAAGUUACAGCUGGUACAAAGCUUUCGAAGUCUCUGUUCAGUUCUUCUCAGUCACCUGUCAUGGUUAGUGACAACAACUGUUCAUCAGUGGAGUUGGACCAAUUGCAUACUGAAGAGGACAAGAUAUUGUUGGAUCCACCACUGAUGCCUAAAGUAGAUGUUGCAGUUACACCAGAAUGUAAGACUGGUAAUGUGCCAGAAAGUGAAGCAGAACUUAAUUCUUGCAGCAAACCAUUGUGGGAUCCACCUCUGAUGCCUAAGGAAGAUGUUGCAGUUACACGAGUAUCUAACACUGGUAAUGUGCCAGAAAGUGAAGCAGAAGUUAAUUCUUGCAGCAAACCAUUGUGGGAUCCACCUCUGAUGCCUAAGGAAGAUGUUGCAGUAACAGGAGUAUGUAACACUGGUAAUGUGCCAGAAAGUGAAUCAGAACCUAAUUCUUGCAGCAAACGAUUGUUGGAUCCACCUCUGAUGCCUAAGGAAGAUGUUGCAGUUACACAAGUAUGUGACACUGGUGACAUGCCAGAAAGUGAAGCAGAACUUGAUUCUUUCAGCAAACCAUUGUUGUUGUAUCCACCACUGAUGCCUAAGGAAGAUGUUUCUGUUACCCAAGCACGUAACACCAGUAAUGUGUCAGAAAGUGAAUCAGAACCUAAUUCUUGCAGCAAACAGUUCUUGGAUCCACCUCUGAUGCCUAAGGAAGAUGUUGCAGUUACCCAAGUAUGUGACACUGGUGAGAUGCCAGAAAGUGAAACAGAACUUAAUUCUUGUAGCAAACCAUUUUUAGAUCCAUGGCUGAUCCCUGAGAAAGAUGUUGCAGUUACCCAAGUAUCUGACACUGGUGAUGUGCCAGAAAGUGAAUCAGAGAUUAAUUCUUGCAGCAAACCAUUGAUGGAUUCACCAUUGGUGCCUGAGGAAGAUGUUGCAGUUACCCAAGUAUCUGACACUGAUGAUGUGCCAGAAAGUGAAUCAGAGCUUAAUUCUUGCAGCAAACCAUUGAUGGAUUCACCAUUGGUGCCUGAGGAAGAUGUUGCAGUUACACAAGGAUGCUACAUUGGUGAUGUGAAGGAAAGUGAAUCAGAAGUUAAUUCUUGCAGCAAACCAUUGUUGGAUCCCCAAUUGAUGUCUAAGGAAGAUGUUGCAGUCACACAAGUAUGUGACACUGAUGAUGUGCCAGGAAGUGAAGCAGAAGUUAAUUCUUGCAGCAAAACGUUGUUGGCUCCCCAACUCAUGCCUAAGGAAGACGUUGCAGUUACACGAGUAUGUUACACUGGUGAUGUGCCAGAAAGUGAAGCAGAAGUUACUUCUUGCAGCAGCAAACCAUUGCUGGCAGAAAGUGAAGCAGAACCUAAUUCUUGCAGCAAAGCCUUGAAAGCAGAGAAACCAAGAAGGAGACUUUUGCCGGCCUCAUCCGUAUUGUUGAGGGACAUUGGUGGUUUGGACUUGGAGGAUGAGAAUCAGAAACCGAGGGGAACCAGAGGUGGAAAGAAAUUGGCUGCAGAUGAAAUAAACAGAACUCAGGGCAGCAUCUCUCUCAUGCGAUUGCUUAAGAGCAACCUUCGCCUCUAGACAACCACCCUUAACCAUUCCUUGUAAUAGGUAAAGAUCGCCUACAUAGAAGAAUCACAGAGGGAAAGUCCAUGUAAGAUGCAGGUCAGAAGACCUAUGCAGGAAAUAGUCCUUGAGCAUUGCUUUACUGUGAUUGGAUAUUGUUUGCUCGCAUUGAAAGUGUUUUGAGGCUUUGCCUUUGUAUUAAAGAUUGAAUCUUUUUGUAGGAAUGAUGUAAUAUCUAUAUUUGCAAGGUACACUUGUAGUAUAGGCUACCCGUAGUGAACCAUGGGGUUUUGGUAUAUGUAAAUUAAUGUAAUACAAGUUUCUUUUGUGAAACGAAACAUAUUUUGUUAA